CCCCUAAUCUGGGACAGUGGAAUAACAGUACAACAUAACAAAUGAGCUUUUUUGAAAAUAUGUCAAAGCAGUUUGAUGUUACUAAUAGUUGUUGCUGUGACAUUUUCUGUUUUGUCUUACACAGUAAUUUUCAUGAUAAUAAAGACGACAUGGAAUUUGCCAGUUUGUCAUGUAAAUGCAACAACUGUUUUUAAGAUAUCUGAUAGG
Molecule: long non-coding RNA, 207 nt
Filed under: Mytilus galloprovincialis (Mediterranean mussel)
Lineage: Eukaryota; Metazoa; Mollusca; Bivalvia; Mytilida; Mytilidae
Source: RNAcentral